This 497-nucleotide ribosomal RNA is filed under the name uncultured bacterium. Its description in RNAcentral is "partial 16S ribosomal RNA". It matches the Rfam family "Bacterial small subunit ribosomal RNA", at positions 28 to 507 of the family's 1533-position model. The record is from RNAcentral.
GAUGAACGCUGGCGGCGUGCCUAAUACAUGCAAGUCGAGCGAACAGACGAGGAGCUUGCUCCUCUGACGUUAGCGGCGGACUGGUUAGUAACACGUGGAUAACCUACCUAUAAGACUGGGAUAACUUCGGGAAACCGGAGCUAAUACCGGAUAAUAUAUUGAACCGCAUGGUUCAAUAGUGAAAGACGGUUUUGCUGUCACUUAUAGAUUGAUCCGCGCCGCAUUAGCUAGUUGGUAAGGUAACGGCUUACCAAGGCAACGAUGCGUAGCCGACCUGAGAGGGUGAUCGGCCACACUGGAACUGAGACACGGUCCAGACUCCUACGGGAGGCAGCAGUAGGGAAUCUUCCGCAAUGGGCGAAAGCCUGACGGAGCAACGCCGCGUGAGUGAUGAAGGUCUUCGGAUCGUAAAACUCUGUUAUUAGGGAAGAACAAAUGUGUAAGUAACUAUGCACGUCUUGACGGUACCUAAUCAGAAAGCCACGGCUAACUACGUG